Long non-coding RNA from Panicum virgatum (switchgrass), 1159 nucleotides. RefSeq lists it as uncharacterized. The transcript is spliced from 2 exons. Lineage: Eukaryota; Viridiplantae; Streptophyta; Magnoliopsida; Poales; Poaceae. The record is from RefSeq and is a predicted model, not a curated record.
UCAUUCAAUCCACAAUGGGAAGUCGUGAUGAGAUGAGCCAAAUCAUACAUGCUUUGAAAGAAUAUUUUGCUGUGCUGCUAGUAGUUAGGGCAGCCACUAGCAAGUAGCAACCUCCCUUUAGUUCCUUGCUGCAAUAACCUGAACGUAGCUUCAGUGCCUAAAUCAUAUUCAGCUGCUCUCAGAGAAAUACUCAUACAUUCUGUUCUGAAUAUAAUGCUUAAUUUACACCAGCUUAGGUCUUAUUGCUACUGGAUUUGUCUUCGCUCCUGUUAAGUGUGUUGCAUUGAUGCUAAUGAGCUUUCAUUGUUCUCCAAAACUCAAGUAGCAGCUUUUUAUCCAGUUCAAUCUUCCCUCUUGAAAAUUUUAAAUUAUUAGAUAGCAAGUUGUACACCCUAAAACUUUUCUUUUACUUCAUUGUAAAGCUUGACUUCAGAGGUAUUUACUGACUGCCUUUCUCAAAUCAAACAGAAUGGCAUUAAUUCAAGGCCAUUUGUACUGAAGCUUGUAGCUUGGUCUGACACCUGCUGGGCUAGAAUCUAUGUUGGCAACUCGCAAAUAUUAAUUCAGAGGUAUAGUCUGGAAGAACGGUACGCGACAGCGACAUGAGGUGAAGACGAGGGCUCAAUUUCUGGACACUGGCGACAGGAUGCUAUGCGAGGCUGUGCAUACAGGAAAUCUGUUAAAAUUAAAGGAUAAUGUGGCAAGCUAUUCCACCAUUCAAGUUGCUUGGUGAUAUUUAUCUUCUUUUUAAAAACCAUUAAUGUGCUUGUCAUAUUUUGUUUCUUUAGCCAAUAAACCCUUCUACUAUGCUCUCUCGUGGACACCAUAACGGAUGAUUUGCCAUUUGAAUCUACAGAGGAUGCUGAUCUUAAGACAGAACCAGCUGAUGUUACCAUAGAGCCAGCUGAUAUUAUCAAAGAGUCGGCUACAGAUCUUGCUGACGAAAGCCGUCCUCCGCUAUCAGAUUAUUCCCGUGUAGUUACACUGUUACAUAGUACCCUGCCCGUUUUUUAUUUCUUUUUCCUUCCCUUUACUUUGCUGUCUUGGUUCCUGUAAAAUAUAUAGUAAAAACAAUGCAUGGCCCCAAACUUUGUUUUCCUGUGUAGUUACAUGGCAUGGAAACAGACGAGACAAUCCCAAGCAUCGCAUAUUUAUCAAA